This is a long non-coding RNA of Notothenia coriiceps (black rockcod), 1053 nucleotides long. RefSeq lists it as uncharacterized. The transcript is spliced from 2 exons. Lineage: Eukaryota; Metazoa; Chordata; Actinopteri; Perciformes; Nototheniidae. The record is from RefSeq and is a predicted model, not a curated record.
UGAUUUUUUUUGUUUGCUUUCUGCUACAGGAAAACUAAUUCGACCAACAACCACAAAGACAAGAAUCUCCGCCAGAGGAAUACAAACUGAGCAGCCUGUCUGCUGAGUUUCAUUUCACAAAUGUAUUGACCAUAUGAAAGUAAACAAGAAGGGUAUCCAUACCAGUUGUUAAUAAGAUGUAUCUGCCAUUACAAGUAUGGAGAGUUCAAUGAGGCAUGCCUUAUGAUUUUAUUGUGUGAGGAUGCGAAAAUUGAAUUGUUAACAAUAUAACCAUUGUUGCUGCAUGCAGUUGUUGACGUUUAUGAUUUGUUUCCCCCUCCUAUCCACACAUUUUACAUUUUGAAUACUUCUAAAAUAAUGCAUGCAAGAUGUUGACCUUCUGUUUGACACAGAAAUGGCUUCUUUUUUUCUUUCUCUUUUCUCUGAGAGUGGCUUCAUUUAGAUGAUCUGUACUGUGUGUUGUAGAGGAAAACAAAACUUGGCAAUGUAAAAGAAAAUGCCACCAUAUUCUGGUAUGACAGUUAUGUACAGUUUUAUCAUUCCACUGCAUACCGUUUUACCUGAAGAUAUCUAUUGCGUUUUAAGGGCUUCGCAAUGUCCCUCUAAAUGUUAUUAAGAGUUACUUUACUGUAUGUAUUAAAUCACUAACUAUGUAUCAAAAUACCAUUUAAUAUAUAAAGACUCUUCAUAUGAUAUGAUGCACUUAAAUGUUGAGGAUAAUGAAAAACUGUAUAAACAACCUUUAGGAAAUCUGUACUAAUCAUCCUAACAUUGUUUUAUAAUUAUGUGUAUUGUACAGCAUGGCUAUUAUCCUAUGCAAUUAUUAUCCAUAUCGAUACCUAUUGAAAAAUCAUUGCCGCUUUUGAUUUCUCUGUGAUAAAGCUUUAAACUAGUAGGAUCACCUUAGAGCGCUGAAGGCAAUCCGCACAGCAGCAUGAAUUCUUUACAGCUGACGUGGGAGGAGGCGGAGAAAGAAACAUGCGUCAGAACCGACACGUGAAAAAUCCCAAGGUCCCCAACUCAUUUUUAAGAAUAAAUAUCUCAAAAAAUAAA